Molecule: ribosomal RNA, 253 nt
Filed under: uncultured bacterium
Lineage: Bacteria
Description: partial 16S ribosomal RNA
Rfam family: Bacterial small subunit ribosomal RNA
Source: RNAcentral
UACGGGGGGGGUAAGCGUUGUUCGGAAUUACUGGGCGUAAAGGGCUCGUAGGCGGCUCAAUAAGUCAUACGUGAAAUCCCUCAGCUUAACUGGGGAACUGCGUGUGAUACUGGAUGGCUUGGAUUUGGGAGAGGGAUGCGGAAUUCCAGGUGUAGCGGUGAAAUGCGUAGAUAUCUGGAGGAACACCGGUGGCGAAGGCGGCAUCCUGGACCAAUAUUGACGCUGAGGAGCGAAAGCCAGGGGAGCAAACGGG